GACGAACGCUGGCGGCGUGCUUAACACAUGCAAGUCGAGCGGUAAGGCCCUUUCGGGGGUACGACGAGCGGCGAACGGGUGAGUAGCACGUGGGUGACCUGCCCUCAGCUCUGGGAUAAGCCUGGGAAACCGGGUCUAAUACUGGAUAUGACUCCAUGACGCAUGUUGUGGGGUGGAAAGCCUUGUGCGGCUGAGGAUGGGCCCGCGGCCUAUCAGCUUGUUGGUGGGGUGAUGGCCUACCAAGGCGACGACGGGUAGCCGGCCUGAGAGGGCGACCGGCCACACUGGGACUGAGACACGGCCCAGACUCCUACGGGAGGCAGCAGUGGGGAAUCUUGCGCAAUGGGCGAAAGCCUGACGCAGCGACGCCGCGUGAGGGAUGACGGCCU
RNAcentral lists this ribosomal RNA (389 nucleotides) under uncultured bacterium. RNAcentral describes it as "bacterial SSU rRNA". It matches the Rfam family "Bacterial small subunit ribosomal RNA", at positions 28 to 417 of the family's 1533-position model. The record is from RNAcentral.